AUCUUUCUAGUACAAAUAAGUAUAAAUGACUUCCACUCAUUUGAUCUUGGUUAAAAUCCAAGGAAUGAUA
This 70-nucleotide transfer RNA is filed under the name Scatophagus argus. RNAcentral's name for it is "tRNA-Gly". It matches the Rfam family "tRNA". From Rfam's summary of the family: Transfer RNA (tRNA) molecules are approximately 80 nucleotides in length. Their secondary structure includes four short double-helical elements and three loops (D, anti-codon, and T loops). The record is from RNAcentral. Lineage: Eukaryota; Metazoa; Chordata; Actinopteri; Scatophagidae.